CUCUUUAAGAUAAUGAUUUGAUUCAGGCGAAAGAUGUAGCAUUAGCCGUAAGCUUUCCACUCUAUUUCUAGAUUGCUACUACUUGUUUCGAGUAUCUGGAGCACGAAAUAGAUCAAAUAGAUCAUAAAGUAUUUGAACUAUGAUUCAUACUUAAUACUCAGACCUCGUAGCCAGACUUCUUUCCGUUCCAUCUUAGAAACUUUAAUAAAUCAAAAACAAAAUUCUGCUUUUAAACUCUUAUUUGGAUCAAAGGACUAAAGGCUUCUUUGUAUUUUAGAUUUUUAAUCAUUACAGAUAUUUUUUUGUUUUUUGAUUGAAUAAGUGA
Molecule: long non-coding RNA, 325 nt
Filed under: Eutrema salsugineum
Lineage: Eukaryota; Viridiplantae; Streptophyta; Magnoliopsida; Brassicales; Brassicaceae
Description: long non-coding RNA (ESAL_LNC000958)
Source: RNAcentral